CUGGACCUCAGCUCAGGCGUGGCCACCCGCUGAAUUUAAGCAUAUCAAUAAGCGGAGGAAAAGAAACCAACAGGGAUUCCCCCAGUAACGGCGAGCGAAGCGGGAACAGCUCGAGCCUAAAAUCUCCGGCGCGCAGCCGGCGAAUUGUAGCCGAGAGAGGCACCUGCGCUCGGCAGGCGGUCGACCAAAGUUG
Molecule: ribosomal RNA, 193 nt
Filed under: Corvomeyenia sp. Addis03-32
Lineage: Eukaryota; Metazoa; Porifera; Demospongiae; Spongillida; Metaniidae
Description: partial 28S ribosomal RNA
Rfam family: Eukaryotic large subunit ribosomal RNA
Source: RNAcentral